CAGUAGCCACGGUAAAACGAACCGUGCGAACGUUAUUCGGAAUUACUGGGCUUAAAGCGCGUGUAGGCGGGCCGCCACGUCGGUUGCUGAAAUCCCCCGGCUCAACCGGGGAAGUGGCAUCGAUACGAGCGGCCUUGAGGGGGGUAGGGGGAUCUGGAACUUCCGGUGGAGCGGUGAAAUGCGUUGAGAUCGGAAGGAACGCCGAUGGCGAAGGCAGCCCCCUGGGCCAAUACUGACGCUCAUGCACGAAAGCGUGGGGAGCAAACAGGAUUAGAUACCCCGGUAGUCCCUGUCUCUUAUA
RNAcentral lists this ribosomal RNA (301 nucleotides) under uncultured bacterium. RNAcentral's name for it is "partial 16S ribosomal RNA". It matches the Rfam family "Bacterial small subunit ribosomal RNA", at positions 509 to 808 of the family's 1533-position model. The record is from RNAcentral.